This is a non-coding RNA of Penaeus monodon (black tiger shrimp), 134 nucleotides long. RefSeq annotates it as small Cajal body-specific RNA 11. The record is from RefSeq and is a predicted model, not a curated record. The transcript has a single exon. NCBI's taxonomy places the organism in Eukaryota, Metazoa, Arthropoda, Malacostraca, Decapoda, Penaeidae.
UUUUUUUUUUUUUUCCUUUCCCCCCCCCUUUUUUUUUUUUAAGGGGGGGGGAAAAAAAAAACCCCCCCCUUUUUUGGGGGGGGGGGGGGGGGAAAAAAAAAACCCCCCCCCCCAAAAAAAAACCCGGGGAAAAA